ACGGGUGAGUAAUGCAUCGGGACCUACCUGAACGUGGGGGAUAACGUAGGGAAACUUACGCUAAUACCGCAUACGUCCUACGGGAGAAAGCGGGGGACCUUCGGGCCUCGCGCGGUCAGACGGACCGAUGUUCGAUUAGCUAGUUGGUAAGGUAACGGCUUACCAAGGCGACGAUCGAUAGCUGGUCUGAGAGGAUGAUCAGCCACACUGGAACUGAGACACGGUCCAGACUCCUACGGGAGGCAGCAGUGGGGAAUAUUGGACAAUGGGCGCAAGCCUGAUCCAGCAAUGCCGCGUGUGUGAAGAAGGCCUUCGGGUUGUAAAGCACUUUUAUCAGGAGCGAAAUACUACCGGUUAAUAACCGGUGGGGCUGACGGUACCUGAGGAAUAAGCACCGGCUAACUUCGUGCCAGCAGCCGCGGCAAUACGAAGGGUGCAAGCGUUAAACGGAAUUACUGGGCGUAAAGGGUGCGUAGGCGGUUAGUUAAGUCUGUCGUGAAAUCCCCGGGCUCAACCUGGGAAUGGCGAUGGAUACUGGCUAGCUAGAGUGUGUCAGAGGAUGGUGGAAUUCCCGGUG
This 577-nucleotide ribosomal RNA is filed under the name uncultured Rhodanobacter sp. RNAcentral's name for it is "bacterial SSU rRNA". It matches the Rfam family "Bacterial small subunit ribosomal RNA", at positions 102 to 675 of the family's 1533-position model. The record is from RNAcentral. Lineage: Bacteria; Pseudomonadati; Pseudomonadota; Gammaproteobacteria; Lysobacterales; Rhodanobacteraceae.